AUUGAACGCUGGCGGCAGGCCUAACACAUGCAAGUCGAACGAGUGGCGGACGGGUGAGUAAUGUCUGGGACACUGCCUGAUGGAGGGGGAUAACUACUGGAAACGGUAGCUAAUACCGCAUACAAUCGGAUGAGCCCAGAUGGGAUUAGCUAGUAGGUGGGGUAAAGGCUCACCUAGGCGACGAUCCCUAGCUGUUCUGAAAGGAUGACCACGCACACUGGAACUGAGACACGGUCCAGACUCAGACGGUAGGCAGCAGUGGGAAAUAUGGCAAAAUGGGCGCAAGCCUGAUGCAGCCAUGCCGCGUGUAUGAAUAAUGCCUUCGGGUUGUAAAGUACUUUCAGCGGGGAGGCGUUACACGCAGAAGAAGCACCGGCUAACUCCGUGCCAGCAGCCGCGGUAAUUC
Molecule: ribosomal RNA, 406 nt
Filed under: uncultured bacterium
Lineage: Bacteria
Description: partial 16S ribosomal RNA
Rfam family: Bacterial small subunit ribosomal RNA
Source: RNAcentral